CGUCUCCAUCGGAUGCUGAUCCAGUGAGGGACAAUGAGGUCGUAUUGGAGUGUUCUCUGGUCAGAUCCACAGACCUCAGACUCUGUGCAGAGAACACCGUCCUCUGGCAGGAUGAAGGAGGCCGCGUUCUGUUGGAUAAAGGUGAUGGAUACGAGUUCUUACGACGGACCAACUGUGUGUCUUUACUGAAAGUGAAGCGUCAGAGCGACCGCAACAGGAAGUACACCUGUAAGGUGACGGACGACAAGAACAACUAGCUCAUAUCAGCCGACUACACACCCAUCUUCACAGAUCUGUCAAAUAUCACCAUAAUACCAACUGACAGCUUUCACUUCUACUUCAUCAUCAGUGCAGUGGUCAAAGUUCUGACACUGUUGGUUGUCACGGCUCUUUGCUUCAAAUGCUGGAAAUCUGCCAAAGAGACACAAAAUGCUGAGAACUCAGCCAGUUCCCACGUUUUAUACGAGAACUGUUUGUCCUCUGCUGGAAGACGUGGAGGCGGCGUGGCUUUUCUAUGACAAUGAGUCCAAAUGUAAGAACCACCCAGCAACUCGUACAGAGGCAAGCUGGUUGAAGAUGGAAGGAGUAAAGUUCACGGUUUAAAAAAACAAUACAAAUCAGACAAUUUCAUCAAACUUAUGUUGGUUAUUACUGCUGCAUAAACCAAUCAGCAAAAAUCAAAAAGUCAAAGAACAAUAACUUCAGUCCAUGUGAACUUUAAGUGUUUCAGUGAGUUUUCACUUC
This is a long non-coding RNA of Thalassophryne amazonica, 744 nucleotides long. RefSeq lists it as uncharacterized. The transcript has 4 exons. Lineage: Eukaryota; Metazoa; Chordata; Actinopteri; Batrachoidiformes; Batrachoididae. The record is from RefSeq and is a predicted model, not a curated record.